This 446-nucleotide ribosomal RNA is filed under the name uncultured bacterium. RNAcentral's name for it is "partial 16S ribosomal RNA". It matches the Rfam family "Bacterial small subunit ribosomal RNA", at positions 338 to 795 of the family's 1533-position model. The record is from RNAcentral.
CCUACGGGUGGCAGCAGUCGAGAAUCAUUCACAAUGGGGGAAACCCUGAUGGUGCGACGCCGCGUGGGGGAAUGAAGGUCUUCGGAUUGUAAACCCCUGUCAUGUGGGAGCAAAUUAAAAAGAUAGUACCACAAGAGGAAGAGACGGCUAACUCUGUGCCAGCAGCCGCGGUAAUACAGAGGUCUCAAGCGUUGUUCGGAAUCACUGGGCGUAAGGCGUGCGUAGGCUGUUUCGUAAGUCGUGUGUGAAAGGCGCGGGCUCAACCCGCGGACGGCACUUGAUACUGCGAGACUAGAGUAAUGGAGGGGGAACCGGAAUUCUCGGUGUAGCAGUGAAAUGCGUAGAUAUCGAGAGGAACACUCGUGGCGAAGGCGGGUUCCUGGACAUUAACUGACGCUGAGGCACGAAGGCCAGGGGAGCGAAAGGGAUUAGAUACCCCAGUAGUC